AUUGAACGCUGGCGGCAUGCUUUACACAUGCAAGUCGAACGGUAACAGGCCGCAAGGUGCUGACGAGUGGCGAACGGGUGAGUAAUGCAUCGGAACGUGCCCAGUCGUGGGGGAUAACUACUCGAAAGAGUAGCUAAUACCGCAUACGAUCUAUAGAUGAAAGCGGGGGACCGUAAGGCCUCGCGCGAUUGGAGCGGCCGAUGUCAGAUUAGGUAGUUGGUGGGGUAAAGGCUCACCAAGCCAACGAUCUGUAGCUGGUCUGAGAGGACGACCAGCCACACUGGGACUGAGACACGGCCCAGACUCCUACGGGAGGCAGCAGUGGGGAAUUUUGGACAAUGGGCGCAAGCCUGAUCCAGCAAUGCCGCGUGCAGGAAGAAGGCCUUCGGGUUGUAAACUGCUUUUGUACGGAACGAAACGGCUCUGGUUAAUACCCGGGGCUAAUGACGGUACCGUAAGAAUAAGCACCGGCUAACUACGUG
RNAcentral lists this ribosomal RNA (482 nucleotides) under uncultured bacterium. Its description in RNAcentral is "partial 16S ribosomal RNA". It matches the Rfam family "Bacterial small subunit ribosomal RNA", at positions 30 to 507 of the family's 1533-position model. The record is from RNAcentral.